Molecule: ribosomal RNA, 484 nt
Filed under: uncultured bacterium
Lineage: Bacteria
Description: partial 16S ribosomal RNA
Rfam family: Bacterial small subunit ribosomal RNA
Source: RNAcentral
GGGGGGGGGGGGGGGGGGGGGGGGGGGGGGCGGGGGGGGCGGGGGGAGGGAGGUGGCGCCUGGAUUCAGCGGCGGACGGGGGAGUAAUGCCUAGGAAUCUGCCUGGUAGUGGGGGAUAACGUCCGGAAACGGGCGCUAAUACCGCAUACGUCCUGAGGGAGAAAGUGGGGGAUCUUCGGACCUCACGCUAUCAGAUGAGCCUAGGUCGGAUUAGCUAGUUGGUGGGGUAAAGGCCUACCAAGGCGACGAUCCGUAACUGGUCUGAGAGGAUGAUCAGUCACACUGGAACUGAGACACGGUCCAGACUCCUACGGGAGGCAGCAGUGGGGAAUAUUGGACAAUGGGCGAAAGCCUGAUCCAGCCAUGCCGCGUGUGUGAAGAAGGUCUUCGGAUUGUAAAGCACUUUAAGUUGGGAGGAAGGGCAGUAAGUUAAUACCUUGCUGUUUUGACGUUACCAACAGAAUAAGCACCGGCUAACUUCGUG